AGAGUUCGAUCCUGGCUCAGGAUAAACGCUGGCGGCGUGCCUAACACAUGCAAGUCGAACGAGAAUCUGAUGACGGAGUUUUCGGACAACUGAUUCAGAGGACGGUGGCGGACGGGUGAGUAAUGCGUGAGCAACCUGCCCUUCAGAGGGGGACAACAGUUGGAAACGGCUGCUAAUACCGCAUAAUGUAUCCGGGAGGCAUCUCCUGAAUACCAAAGAUUUUAUCGCUGAAGGAUGGGCUCACGUCUGAUUAGCUAGUUGGUAGGGUAACGGCCUACCAAGGCUGCGAUCAGUAGCCGGACUGAGAGGUUGACCGGCCACAUUGGGACUGAGAUACGGCCCAG
This 344-nucleotide ribosomal RNA is filed under the name uncultured bacterium. Its description in RNAcentral is "bacterial SSU rRNA". It matches the Rfam family "Bacterial small subunit ribosomal RNA", at positions 8 to 334 of the family's 1533-position model. The record is from RNAcentral.